AUGAGUUCCUGCCUAGCCCACAUGAUCAGAGAUCAUUCCCUGGACUUUGUGUGUUUGCAAGAGACCCAUGAAAAAAGUUUUCUGGACAGUUAUUUUAGAAAGCUUGAUCCACACACAAUAAUUUAUUGGGACUGGAUCCCAGCAAAAGGUAAAUCAGAUGACAUCCUCUGUGGUGUUAAGAAGGAAAGAUUUGAAGUUAUAUCUUGGAGAAAAGGGAGGUUUACUCUUCAAGUCUGCUUCUAUGAUAUCAAAAUGCAGAAGGCUUGGACCUUAUGCACAGUUUAUGGUGCUGCCCAUGACUGUGAUAACGGAGAUUUUUUAGUUGAGGUUGCAGAUUUUUGCAACCACAUUCAAACCCGAUUCCUAAUUGGAGGGGACUUCAAUAUCCUCAGACAUACUGGAGAAAACAACCAAAACUGGCAUCACUCCACUUACACUGAUCUUUUCAACUCUGUUAUUAAUUCUAUGUGUCUGAAUGAGAUACACAUGCAUGGGGGGAUGUAUAUGUGGACUAAUAACCAAGCACACCCGACCUUGGAAAAAUUGUAUCGUGUGUUAAUGAAUAAUGAUUGGGAGGAUAUGUUCCCAUUAGACAAUGUUAAAAAACUUGUUAGGGACAUAUCGGACCAUAAUGCCCUCUUGGUGUCCUCGGACAAUCAUGUUGUUCGAGUCCCACACACAAGAGAGUUUAGGUUUGAGUUAAGCUGGCUCAAGUCUAAAGAUUCCAUUCCUUUGGAUGAUUUUUUUGGAAUAAACAUGUCAAUGCAUCCGAUCCAAAUGAUGUUUUGA
RNAcentral lists this ribosomal RNA (789 nucleotides) under Triticum aestivum (bread wheat). RNAcentral describes it as "partial small subunit ribosomal RNA". The record is from RNAcentral. Lineage: Eukaryota; Viridiplantae; Streptophyta; Magnoliopsida; Poales; Poaceae.